GUGCUCACUUCAGCAGCACAUAUACUAAAACUGGAACAAUACAGGGAAGAUUAGCAUGGCCCUUGCGCAAGGAUGACACACAAAUUUGUGAAGCAUUCCAUAUUUUU
RNAcentral lists this small nuclear RNA (107 nucleotides) under Propithecus coquereli (Coquerel's sifaka). The record is from RNAcentral. Lineage: Eukaryota; Metazoa; Chordata; Mammalia; Primates; Indriidae.